Nicotiana attenuata is the source of this 1826-nucleotide long non-coding RNA. RefSeq lists it as uncharacterized. NCBI's taxonomy places the organism in Eukaryota, Viridiplantae, Streptophyta, Magnoliopsida, Solanales, Solanaceae. The record is from RefSeq and is a predicted model, not a curated record. The transcript has 2 exons.
UGAAAUAUAAUACUUUUGUAAGCGUCAGGCAUGACAUCAGAAGUCACAACAUAUCAUAUCACAGUAUAAACCAAAUAAGUGUACAAACUUGCAAUACUUGAGGAAAAUUAAAGUCUUGGUUUGAGCUAAAAUUUAAUGGCGUUUUCCGGUGCACAAGUUCUCCUAUUUCCAUUUCCAACUGCAGGUCACAUAAUCCCCCUCCUUGACCUAGCCAACCACCUCAUAAAUCAUAACCUAAAACUCACAAUUCUUGUCACACCUCAAAACCUACCAUUACUCGAGCCAAUCCGAGCAAUUCACCCUUCCGAUUCUAUUCAAACACUUUGCCUUUCAUUUCCCCAACUCCCAGCUGGAUCCAGUUUUGCUGCAAGGGUUCGUUCAACCUCUGAGCUUUACAAUCCGAUUGUCGAUUGGUUCCGUACCCACCCGUCACCUGUGGCCAUUAUCUCAGAUUUCUUCCUUGGUUGGACUCAUGAACUGGCAUGCCGACUAGGUGUUCGACGUAUUGCCUUUUGGCCGUCCGGAGCUUUUACUUGCUUAGUUAUAAGUCAUACAUGGAGCAACGUUGAAGAAAUCUUGUCUACAACUAAUGAAAACUCUUUGAUUACUUUCCAUAAUAUACCCAAUACGCCGGAAUAUCCUCGAUGGAAGGUGUGUACUUUGAGCAGUCAAUACAAGAAAGGAGACCCCGAUUGGGAAUUCUUUUUGAAAAUAUGAAGAGUUGGGGGGUUGUGUUUAACUCUUGUAGAGAAGUGGAGGGCGUUUUUAUUGAUCGAGUAAAGAAAGAAAUGGGCCAUGAUAGGGUUUGGGCCGUUGGGCCCUUGCUACCUUUGGACAAUAAUUUGGUAGGCCCAUAUUAUUUUCAACGAGGCGGGUCGAGUGUGAUGCCACGUGAUGAAGUGAUGACGUGGUUAGAUGACAAGGCCGAUGAUUCAGUUGUUUACGUGAGUUUCGGGAGUCGUGCAAUGUUGAUGCCCUGGCGACGGCCUUGGAGUGUAGUGGGGUGAAUUUCGUGUGGUGCUUGAAAUUCAAGAGGAAGGACAGGUGGCAGGCAACGAGGGAGUAGUCACGAAGGAAUAUGAGAAUCGAAUAGCAAAUAGAGGGUUGAUAAUCAAAGGUUGGGCUCCACAAGUUGCGAUACUAAGUCAUCGAGCUGUGAGCGUUUUCUUGACUCAUUGCGGAUGGAACUCCAUACUAGAAGGCAUAUCCUCUGAGGUGCUCAUGCUAACAUGGCCUAUGGGUGCAGACCAAUUUAUAAGUGCAGAAUUGUUGGUUAACGAACUCAAAGUGGGAAUUAGAGCCUGCGAAGAUGGUUGUCAGGUCCCUACUUGCCUGUUUUCUCCUAUCCAUCGUAAGAAGGAGCUCCACAUCUGUCUGGAAUAUUCACAUUCAAAGAACAAGUGAGCGUGAGUUUCUUCAAUAUCAGCUCUGCAUAGUACACAGUUCAUAGGGACUUGUAUUCCCCAUUUAGCCAUUCUAUCUGCUGUACUAAAUCUCCUUUGAAGUGCAAGCCAAAGUAUAAAUUGAUACUUUGGUACAGAACAUGGAAUCAUAUUGAGGUUUCUCCAUAUAGCUCUAGGAUAUUGAGGGAGUAAGUAUUGGUAUGCCUUCUUGAUCAUGAACUUCCCAGCAUGAGUGAGUUGUUGUAAUUCUUCACACACAUCAUUUCUCCCAUACCAUUUCCUUACAUCAAAGAUUUUCCUAACAAGCCAACAUGCUUGCCUAGGUGUCUCCAUAGUACUGCUUCUACCCUUAAUAUAGAAACUGUGGAUCCAUUGUAUCCAGAGAGCGUCUUUCUUUGCUGUGAUAGCCCAAAGCAAUUUUAA